RNAcentral lists this microRNA precursor (140 nucleotides) under Lotus japonicus. Its description in RNAcentral is "miR11112 stem-loop (lja-MIR11112)". Lineage: Eukaryota; Viridiplantae; Streptophyta; Magnoliopsida; Fabales; Fabaceae. The record is from miRBase by way of RNAcentral.
CCUCUCAAGUGUAAAAAAACUUGAGAGUGUUAACUUUUACUAUCUCGCCAUUAAUUUUUGUGUAGAUAAUAAAUGAAAAAUAAAAUAAAAUUAAUGGUGAGAUGAUGAAACUUGACACUCUCAAUUUUUUUUACACGAGG